AUUGAACGCUGGCGGAAUGCUUUACACAUGCAAGUCGAACGGUAGAGGGGGCAACCCCUCGAGAGUGGCGAACGGGUGAGUAAUAUAUCGGAACGUGCCCAGUCGUGGGGGAUAACGUAGCGAAAGUUACGCUAAUACCGCAUACGAUCUAAGGAUGAAAGCGGGGGAUCGCAAGACCUCGCGCGAUUGGAGCGGCCGAUAUCAGAUUAGGUAGUUGGUGGGGUAAAGGAUCACCAAGCCAACGAUCUGUAGCUGGUCUGAGAGGACGAACAGCCACACUGGAACUGAGACACGAUCCAGACUCCUACGGGAGUCAGCAGUGGGUAAUUUUGGACAAUGGACGCAAGUCUGAUCCAGCCAUUCCGCGUGCAGGAUGAAGGCCCUCGGGUUGUAAACUGCUUUUGUACGGAACGAAAAGGUCUCUCUUAAUACGGGGGACUCAUGACGGUACCGUAAGAAUAAGCACCGGCUAACUACGUGCCAGCAGCCGCCGUAA
RNAcentral lists this ribosomal RNA (496 nucleotides) under uncultured bacterium. RNAcentral's name for it is "partial 16S ribosomal RNA". It matches the Rfam family "Bacterial small subunit ribosomal RNA", at positions 30 to 523 of the family's 1533-position model. The record is from RNAcentral.